AGCAGCCGCGGUAAUUCCAGCUCCAAUAGCGUAUAUUAAAGUUGUUGCAGUUAAAAAGCUCGUAGUUGAAUUUCGGGAUCAGUACGUCGGUCGUGCCUUCGGUAUGCACUGGUGUCACUGGUUCCUCCCUUCUGACGAACCGUCAUGCCAUUAAUUUGGUGUGGCGGGAAAUCAGGACUGUUACUUUGAAAAAAUUAGAGUGUUUAAAGCAGGCUCACGCUUGAAUACAUUAGCAUGGAAUAAUGAAAUAGGACGUUGAUCUUAUUUUGUUGGUUUCUAGGUAUUGACGUAAUGAUUAAUAGGGAUAGUUGGGGGCAUUAGUACUCAAUUGUCAGAGGUGAAAUUCUUAGGAUUUAUUGAAGUACUAACUACUGCGAAAGCAUUUGCCAAGGAUGUUUUCAUUAAUCAAGAACGAAAGUUAGGGGAUCGGAAGACGAUCAGAUACCGUCGUAGUCUUAACCAUAAACUAUGCCGACUAGGGAUCGGGAUGAUGUUAAUUUUUUAAUGUACUCAUUCGGCGUACCG
RNAcentral lists this ribosomal RNA (525 nucleotides) under uncultured fungus. RNAcentral describes it as "SSU rRNA". It matches the Rfam family "Eukaryotic small subunit ribosomal RNA", at positions 569 to 1088 of the family's 1831-position model. Lineage: Eukaryota; Fungi. The record is from RNAcentral.